GAUGAAGAACGUAGCGAAAUGCGAUAAGUAAUGCGAAUUGCAGAAUUCAGUGAGUCAUCGAAUCUUUGAACGCACAUUGCGCCCUGUGGUAUUCCGCAGGGCAUGCCUGUUCGAGCGUCAUUUCAACCCUCAAGCUCUGCUUGGUGUUGGGCCCUGCCCGCUGCGGCCGGCCCUAAAGACAGUGGCGGUGCCGCCUGGCCCUGAGCGUAGUACAUCUCUCGCUCCAGUGCCCGGUGGUAGCCUGCCAGAACCCCAACUCUCGCGGUUGACCUCGGAUCAGGUAGGGAUACCCGCUGAACUUAAGCAUAUCAAUAAGCGGAGGA
Molecule: unclassified non-coding RNA, 323 nt
Filed under: soil metagenome
Description: partial contains 5.8S ribosomal RNA, internal transcribed spacer 2, and large subunit ribosomal RNA
Rfam family: 5.8S ribosomal RNA (bases 1-120)
Source: RNAcentral